RNAcentral lists this transfer RNA (117 nucleotides) under Calocera cornea HHB12733. It matches the Rfam family "tRNA". Rfam says of the family: Transfer RNA (tRNA) molecules are approximately 80 nucleotides in length. Lineage: Eukaryota; Fungi; Basidiomycota; Dacrymycetes; Dacrymycetales; Dacrymycetaceae. The record is from Rfam by way of RNAcentral.
GGCAAGAUGGUCGAGUUGGUCUAAGACGUGGGAUUCAAGAACGCAAGUUCUUACCUCCCCGGAGGCAUGAAAUUCCCCAUCUCGUAAGAGGCAGGGGUUCGAAUCCCCUUCUUGUCA